UGAUAACAGUGCCCAAAGGAACCAAGUGAAAUUACCAAAUUAGAAGUGAUAAGAGGUUGUACUCUCUCCACAAAUUUAUUGUAAUUAGCAAGAGGUAAUGGUGUCUAAAUAAGAUGAAAGAAGAUAUUUUAAAGAUGAUAAUAACAAAAACUACUAGAAAAAGGUGAAGCCAGAAAGGAAGAGUCAUAAUCAAAGAGAGUGAUCAAGAAUCCAAAAUAGACAGAGAGAGCAGGCUCUUAGAGAAAUGGGAGAACUACAACACUGACUCUGCACGUAGGAGGCAGGCAGGAGAGGAGCGCCCCAGCCAGAGUUCAACAUGCACAAACAGGAAGUGUGUCCAAGGUUCUCUGGAGCUCACAGGAGCCGGGGACCGACAGC
Long non-coding RNA from Nomascus leucogenys (northern white-cheeked gibbon), 378 nucleotides. RefSeq lists it as uncharacterized. The record is from RefSeq and is a predicted model, not a curated record. The transcript has 3 exons. Lineage: Eukaryota; Metazoa; Chordata; Mammalia; Primates; Hylobatidae.